AUUGAACGCUGGCGGCAGGCUUAACACAUGCAAGUCGAGCGGGGUGAUGGUGCUUGCACUAUCACUUAGCGGCGGACGGGUGAGUAAUGCUUAGGAAUCUGCCUAUUAGUGGGGGACAACAUCUCGAAAGGGAUGCUAAUACCGCAUACGUCCUACGGGAGAAAGCAGGGGAUCUUUAUGACCUUGCGCUAAUAGAUGAGCCUAAGUCGGAUUAGCUAGUUGGUGGGGUAAAGGCCUACCAAGGCGACGAUCUGUAGCGGGUCUGAGAGGAUGAUCCGCCACACUGGGACUGAGACACGGCCCAGACUCCUACGGGAGGCAGCAGUGGGGAAUAUUGGACAAUGGGGGGAACCCUGAUCCAGCCAUGCCGCGUGUGUGAAGAAGGCCUUAUGGUUGUAAAGCACUUUAAGCGAGGAGGAGGCUCUUUUGGUUAAUACCCAGAAUGAGUGGACGUUACUCGCAGAAUAAGCACCGGCUAACUCUGUGCCAGCCGCCGCCGUAA
Molecule: ribosomal RNA, 502 nt
Filed under: uncultured bacterium
Lineage: Bacteria
Description: partial 16S ribosomal RNA
Rfam family: Bacterial small subunit ribosomal RNA
Source: RNAcentral